This 963-nucleotide long non-coding RNA is filed under the name Homo sapiens (human). RNAcentral describes it as "non-protein coding LINC00677:8". The record is from RNAcentral. Lineage: Eukaryota; Metazoa; Chordata; Mammalia; Primates; Hominidae.
ACUCCCCAGCCGCCCCUCUGAAGUGUUCCGGUGUCACCGUGGCCACAAGGAGGCAGGGGACGGGGGCUUCCUGAAGGAGGCCCCCUAAGGGGAAGGGGGCUACAAGGCUGGCCAGAGUGCUGGCCGCGCGGCUGUGCACAGGGCCUUGAGCCCCUCCGGUCGUCAAGCCUUGCUUGAAAUGCGUAAAUGCGGAAAGGUGAAGUGGCUGACCCGGCUCACACCACUUUAAGUAGCGGAGUGGGGUUCCUAGCCAGGCCUAUGGGACUCCCACUGGAGCCUUUCCCCCUCUGGGGCUGGGGCUGGACCCACAGGCUGCCGGAGCAGGCAGAAGGGGAGGGGCCCAAGGCCCAGACUCCAGGGCCUCGUCUGGAUCAUCAACCCGGCUUUGCCCAUUCAGCGCAGGCCUCCGUUUCCAGGCCUGUCUCCCCAUCCACACCGUCUCUCAAGAUGAGGAAACUGAGGCACAGAGCGGUCCAGUCAUGUGCCAGCCAGUGGUGAAGCUAGGAGCCCCUUCACUAAGCACAGUGUUAUCUUGCUUCUCCUCCAACGUUGCUCAGCGUCUGAAAUUCAGCUUGAUGUAUUUAAGUCAGACACAAGAAAGGACUUCUAGACCAAGGAGUUUAGAUGCAGAAAUGGGAGAUGAGGAAACUGAGUCUCAGAGAAGCAGGCACAGAGGUUGAGGCCUUAAGCCUGAGGUCCCUGCUGCCACCCAGCCUUCCCCAAGAGGAGCAGUGACUUGCUCAGCAUCACCUACAGCUCCAUGAGACCCUGGCUGAAGUCUGCUGACCUCCUCCGGGACUGUGGGAUGGCCAGGACAGCUGACCAGGAGCCACUUUCACGGCACAUCCCCUCCUGCAAAGGAGGGAGCAUGAGGACCCUCAGCAGCCCAGACAUGUACCAUCAGGCGGUGCCCCACCCCAGCCCCACGGGACACUGUCGAUUUGUUGAUAGCCCCCCUGCCCC